This is a long non-coding RNA of Anopheles bellator, 1541 nucleotides long. RefSeq lists it as uncharacterized. The record is from RefSeq and is a predicted model, not a curated record. Lineage: Eukaryota; Metazoa; Arthropoda; Insecta; Diptera; Culicidae. The transcript is spliced from 3 exons.
ACGAUCGCAGCGAAAUACGUGAUAAUCAUCAGUGUUGAAAAAAAGACUGGACGGUAACGACGAAUCAAGCCAAGUUUCGGUCAGUACCAUGACAUCGCAAUUAAAAACCGACGAAGCCAGCCAUACUUCCGAUGACUUAGAUCGCAAUCCCCGAGCGUUUUGGUAGUAGAUCGUGCAAGACACCGCUCGGGGAGAUACCGCAAUCGGUCCACUACACCGCUAUGCAGGCGAACCGUGCUGCACAGCAGGCGGGAGGAGUGGCGGAGCCACCUCACGCAUAGAGGCAGUACGAGGUGAAGCAUCAGAAGCAGUUGGAGAUGAGAGUGGUACUUUAUCAAUCGAGGCCGGACGGUGUACAAACUCGCCGAAACGCAAAGCCGACGGCCACGUGGUAGCAGAUAACGCGGCCGCUCGCAGUUGUAUAGGUAAACCGACCUUGAAAGAUACAAAUGACAGGCCAUCAGUGCUGGCUCCGGCUUUCGUCAACCGAUGCACCACUACAUCCACCGUGGUAAGCCGGGUUCUGACGAAGGAUGCCACCACGUUUUCAGUGCAGGCAGUAGACAGAGGCCCGGUACCAAACUGCAGCGAGUGAUUGUUCGUCUGGUCCACGCGUCGAGCAGCUGUUUGUUGGUUUGACCGAAUGACCGCGCAGCCAUCAGUCAAUGUUGUGGAACGCUCGGCUGGUCCGUCCAGUGGUGAUGCCAACGUGUGCGUAGCGUGCGAAGCGUGUUGCGUAGAAAGAGUGGCCAACUGUGGUGAGGAACGAUCAUUGGUGAGAGUGGCCAUUAUACCAUGCGUGGUACCAGCUAGCACACUGGUAGCACCAGGUAGAUUAUCAUGGCAAGGAUUAAUCAUGCUCGCGCAGCCGUGAACGCAAUCAGCAUCGGUGCUGACUAAGGCAGGCUGCGCUACAGCACUGCGAUUUGUUGCACUCCCAGUCAGUAUCGAGUCCUUCCUCUUCUUCCGGGUUGGCGUAUUGGAGGACACAGAUUGUGCGGCAGAACACGCAGGAACAGCCGCGGCAGAGCAAGCAGGAGCAACCGACUGUGAUGAGGUGUGUCCAGAUGCGAGCGUGGAGCCAUUAGUAGUGGUGGUUUCCAACGAAGCGGCGAUGCGUGUAGUAGCAGAAGAGGUGGAGGCAGGAUGUCUCACGCCUGGAUUCGGCAAGUGAGAAAGCCGGAGCUCGAUAUCACUCCACAGCUUACCAAUCUUCUCAUCCAGGAGGCGUGAGAGCUCGCCUGAUGGCGACCAGCCCGGAGAGAAAACAGCUUGGCGGCAAACUUCACAAAACCAUCGGAGGUUCUGCAUUGCAAGCAGUUUCUUAACGCAAGACUUUCCCAGUUUCAGGCAGUCCGGGUGAAACCGUCCAUUGCACGACACUCCUUGCCGCCAACCACUGCAGAUAACUGAGUCACCGACAACCUGUAGAUGCCGACGCGGGUGCCACCAACGAUAACUCGCAACGCACACAAAAACCACGAAGGAAUUGAUGAAAACAGAAGAGCAAAGCAGAGACACGUCUAAUCAGCGAGAGUGAU